UACGGAGGGUGCAAGCGUUGCUCGGAAUUACUGGGCGUAAAGAGCGUGUAGGCGGUUUCGUAUGUCUGGCGUGAAAGCCCCGGGCUCACCCCGGGAAGUGCGUUGGAAACUGCGAGACUAGAGUCCCGGAGAGGAAGGUGGAAUUCCAGGUGUAGCGGUGAAAUGCGUAGAUAUCUGGAAGAACACCGGUGGCGAAGGCGGCCUUCUGGACGGUGACUGACGCUGAGACGCGAAAGCGUGGGGAGCAAACAGGAUUAGAUACCCUGGUAGUCCACGCCGUAAACGAUGGGCACUAGGUGUCGCGGGUAUUGACCCCUGCGGUGCCACAGCUAACGCAUUAAGUGCCCCGCCUGGGGAAUACGGCCGCAAGGCUA
RNAcentral lists this ribosomal RNA (374 nucleotides) under uncultured prokaryote. RNAcentral describes it as "bacterial SSU rRNA". It matches the Rfam family "Bacterial small subunit ribosomal RNA", at positions 524 to 896 of the family's 1533-position model. The record is from RNAcentral.